AGGGAAUCUGUCACAACAUUCUCUUACGGAAGGUUCUUCCAGGGAAUCUGUCACAACAUUCUCUUACAGAAGGUUCUUCCAGGGAAUCGGUCACAACAUUCUCUUACGGAAGGUUCAAUGGUUUUUCAUAUUUAAACGAGUUUCUUUGACGUUUUAAACACAAUGGAUAUUUCUUUGCACGUAGAGAGUCUAGGAUUAUGAAGGUAUAUACAUUAAAUGAAUGUACAGUGACCUCACAUAGAUAGGAAAACUACAGUAGAGCUAACAAUGCAGUAAAAAUAUAUCUAAAUGUUCAGACAGAAAGUUCCAGGGUUAGAGAGAACAACCUCACUCUACAGACCAGGGUGAUAUGUUACAUAGCUGUGAACAGGACCUCGUUGGGUUGGCAAAUGGACAAAUGGGUAUUUUAACGGGCUAACAAGUAUUGGUAGCCGCUGCUGUCAUUAACAACACUGGACCUAUGUUUAAACUCAUGUCUAAAAUGGCAUCCUAUUCCCUACAUAAUGCACUACUUUAGACCGGGACCCUAUCCCCUAUAUAGUGCACUACUUUAGACCAGAGCCCUAUUCCCUAUGUAGUGCACUACUUUAGACCAGGGCCCUAUUCGAUAUAUAGUGCACUACUUUAGACCAGGGCCCUAUUCCCUACAUAGUGCACUACUUUAGACCAGGGCCCUAUUCCCUACAUAGUGCACUACUUUAGACCAGGACCCUAUCCCCUAUAUAGUGCACUACUUCAAACCAGAGCCCUAUUCCCUAUGUAGUGCACUACUUUAGACCAGAGCCCUAUCCCCUAUAUAGUGCACUACUUUAAACCAGAGCCCUAUAUAGUGCACUACUUUAGACCAGAGACCUAUUCCCUAUAUAGUGCACUACUAUAGACCAGAGCCCUAUUCCCUAUGUAGUGCACUACUAUAGACCAGAGCCCUUUUUCCCUAUAUAGUGCACUACUAUAGACCAGAGCCCUAUUCCCUAUGUAGUGCACUACUAUAGACCAGAGCCCUAUUCCCUAUAUAGUGGUACUACUUUAGACCAGGGCCCUAUUCCCUAUAUAGUGGUACUACUUUAGACCAGGGCCCUAUUCCCUAUAUAGUGCACUACUUUAGACCAGGGCCCUAUUCCCUAUAUAGUGCACUACUAUAGACCAGAGCCCUAUUCCCUAUAUAGUGCACUACUUUAAACCAGAGCCCUAU
Molecule: long non-coding RNA, 1192 nt
Organism: Oncorhynchus tshawytscha (Chinook salmon)
Lineage: Eukaryota; Metazoa; Chordata; Actinopteri; Salmoniformes; Salmonidae
Source: Ensembl